UUAUUUUACAGUAAGAUAAAGCAUAUUUGAUUCUUUCCCUUUCCAUCAAUAAAAAUUUCAACAGCAGACAAUUGUUUCAGAAAAAUAGGCUUCAUUAUUUUGCAGUAAGAUAAAACAUAUUUGAUUCCUUCCCUUUCAAUCAAUAUACAUCUAUUUGAAACCCUAAAAUCCCCUAUAUAAAAGGAUAAAAAACAAACAGCACCAAGGAGGAGAAUGGCAUAAAAAUCAUAGAGAUAGAAGAAAACCAGAAUCGAAAAAUCAAAUAUCAGUAGUCAAACAUCUUCAAAAUAUUCGUCAUACCAAAAUCCCACAAACAACAAAGCCUCACUCAAACAAAAAACUUCUCGUUAUCACAAAAGAAAAAAUUCAGAGUACCUGAAGUCGGCUUUAGUUUUCUCAAAUCGCGUUUCGAUCCAAGGUAGGUACUUAUCUUUACUUACUGUAUGAUAUUUUCGGUUGUCGUUUCUUGUUGUUUGCUUGAUUGUUGUCUCUUCACAACCAGAUUUGAGCGAGAACGACGAGAGAGAGAGAUAGUUUAAGCGAGAAUGGCGAGAGAGAGAGAGAGAGUUUGAGCGAGAACGGCGAGAGAGGGGGUUUAUGGAUGAGUGCAACGAGAAAGAGUAGUUUAAAUGGGAACAAAUGUUGGUGAGAAAAAAUGGAAAGCUUUUUUUUUUCCUGCUGCUACGUUUAACCAAGUCAUAGUUGAAGAAAAUGUUAUCUCUGCAGGAAGAAGAUGUAGCGGCCGAAUUAGGGUUCGCUAGUAUCCUCCCUUCAUGUUAAGGCAUUGGGUCGGGUUGAUCUAACCCGAGAUUCAUAUCCGCCCGCCUCUGGGCCCAAUCCAUACUAUUUUUUUAAGGUAGAUUUUGUAGAAGCAUGCUUCAAUCCAAAGAAUUUUGAUGAAGACAACAUGUAUCAAUGCAAAAAGAUAAGAGCUUCAAGAGAAUUCAAAGCAUCAAGUUAAUAAAGCCACAUAUGCAUAACAACAUUUGGUUCAAGCUUCAUUAUCAAGUCAACACUUUUGCAAAUUUGUUGAAUCAUUUCUAAGGUAUAUCUAAUUCACUCUUAAAUUAGUAUACAAGUGUUCAACAAUCAUGUUUUGCAUUUCCAUAUUUAACCUAACCAUUUUUUAACAUGUUGAAAUGAAAAACACACUUUACUUAAAAUAUUUUUCUGUGUUUCAACAGUGUUAACUGGUUAACCAGAUGCGUUAACCGGUUAACGGCCCUGUAUUUGAAAUUCUGAAGUUAACGUUAGAUGCGUUAACCGGUUAACCCAUUUGGUUAACCGGUUAACACUGUUCGUUUCAGCAUUUCUUGGCCUCUUUUUAUGAAAAAUAUUUUCAAAUACUUAUACCUUUUCACUAUUUUUUAUGCAGAAAAUUAUACCUCUUUGAAAAGGUGUUUUGAUGAAUAUAAAUUCUGGAUUUUUUAAAUGAAAAAAUACCUCCAAGAACUUUCAUAAAAACUCAAGAUAAUCACUCUUUCAUAUUUGUCAAUUUCUCAUAAAAGUGUUCAUAACCAAUUUUUGAGAAGAAACUUUUUAACAUUCUUGUUUCAUCUCAUUCCAUUUCUUGUUGAACACGUAUAUAUUAUCCUUUGAGUGAAUUAUUUAUCCAAGGAGAAGAUCAAUCAAGAGAACAUUGAUAGUACUACACUUUAUUCAAAUAAUCAAAGAAGAUUUAUUUUUGUUUGACUUGUGAUCCAGGAUUGUUGGACACAAGGGUUGGUGUUGCAAGAGGAUUGUUCUUGCAUACUUGAUUGUUGUAUAGUUGUUAGAACGUAGGCUUCACCGGUUUAUGGUGUGAUAGGCUGUACAAUCUAAAACUAUAAUAAAAUCUCUUACGAGGUGUAAGGGGACUGGAUGUACCUUCGGUUUGUGAAGGGAACCAGGAUAA
Lathyrus oleraceus (garden pea) is the source of this 1894-nucleotide long non-coding RNA. RefSeq lists it as uncharacterized. The transcript is spliced from 3 exons. Lineage: Eukaryota; Viridiplantae; Streptophyta; Magnoliopsida; Fabales; Fabaceae. The record is from RefSeq and is a predicted model, not a curated record.